RNAcentral lists this ribosomal RNA (1353 nucleotides) under uncultured bacterium. Its description in RNAcentral is "bacterial SSU rRNA". It matches the Rfam family "Bacterial small subunit ribosomal RNA", at positions 27 to 1381 of the family's 1533-position model. The record is from RNAcentral.
GGAUGAACGCUAGCGGCAGGCUUAACACAUGCAAGUCGAGGGGCAGCGCGAGUAUCAAUACUUGGCGGCGACCGGCGCAAGGGGGCGUAACGUGUGAGCAACAUGCCCGUAUCAGGGGGAUAAUCCAGGGAAACUUGGUCUAAUACCCCAUAGUAAUUUUUGUAGGCAUCUAUAGAAAUUUAAAGCUUUGGUGGAUACGGAUUGGCUCGCGUGACAUUAGCUAGAUGGUAAGGUAACGGCUUACCAUGGCUAUGAUGUCUAGGGGUUCUGAGAGGAAGGUCCCCCACACUGGAACUGAGACACGGUCCAGACUCCUACGGGAGGCAGCAGUGAGGAAUAUUGGACAAUGGAUGGAAAUCUGAUCCAGCCAUGCCGCGUGAAGGAAGAAUGUCCUAUGGAUUGUAAACUUCUUUUGUAUGGGAGCAAUAAGGUCUUCGUGAAGACUGAUGAGAGUACCAUACGAAUAAGCAUCGGCUAACUCCGUGCCAGCAGCCGCGGUAAUACGGAGGAUGCGAGCGUUAUCCGGAUUUAUUGGGUUUAAAGGGUGCGUAGGCUGUUAUAUAAGUCAGUGGUGAAAUACUGCCGCUUAACGGUAGAAUUGCCAUUGAUACUGUUUUUCUUGAGUAUGGUUGAGGUAGGUGGAAUGUGUUGUGUAGCGGUGAAAUGCAUAGAUAUGACACAGAACGCCGAUUGCGAAGGCAGCUUACUAAGCCAUUACUGACGCUGAGGCACGAAAGCGUGGGGAUCGAACAGGAUUAGAUACCCUGGUAGUCCACGCCGUAAACGAUGAUCACUCGCUGUUUGCGAUAUACAGCAAGCGGCUGAGCGAAAGCAUUAAGUGAUCCACCUGGGGAGUACGAUCGCAAGGUUGAAACUCAAAGGAAUUGACGGGGGCCCGCACAAGCGGAGGAACAUGUGGUUUAAUUCGAUGAUACGCGAGGAACCUUACCUGGGCUUAAAUGGGGAACGACAGCUGCCGAAAGGUGGCCUUCUUCGGACGUUCUUCAAGGUGCUGCAUGGUUGUCGUCAGCUCGUGCCGUGAGGUGUCGGGUUAAGUCCCAUAACGAGCGCAACCCUUAUCGUUAGUUGCCAGCGGGUCAAGCCGGGGACUCUAGCGGAACUGCCACCGUAAGGUGUGAGGAAGGUGGGGAUGACGUCAAAUCAGCACGGCCCUUAUGUCCAGGGCUACACACGUGUUACAAUGGCCAAUACAAAGGGCAGCUACCGGGUGACCGGAUGCUAAUCUCUAAAGUUGGUCUCAGUUCGGAUCGAAGUCUGCAACCCGACUUCGUGAAGCUGGAUUCGCUAGUAAUCGCAUAUCAGCCAUGAUGCGGUGAAUACGUUCCCGGGCCU